Molecule: non-coding RNA, 325 nt
Organism: Salvelinus sp. IW2-2015
Lineage: Eukaryota; Metazoa; Chordata; Actinopteri; Salmoniformes; Salmonidae
Source: RefSeq, a predicted model, not a curated record
GGGGUGAACCAGUACCGCCACUGGAUCAAAGAGGAACUGGACAAGAUGGUGGAGUAUGAGCUGAAGAUGGGAGGAGUUCUCUUACACCCGACCUUCGGUGGAGGCAAAGACAAGGACAAUCCUACCCCUCACCUCCACUUCUCCAUCAAGCACCCUCACACCCUGUCCUGGAAGUACUAUAAGUGUUCCAGUGUAAAGCCCACCUGGUCAUGAGGCUCAUUGAGAACAGAUCAGCAUGGAGUUCAUGCUGCAGGUGUUCAACAAGUUACUAAGCCUGGCCAGUACAGCGUCCUCCAGAAGUACCAGUCACACAUGUGGAGUAGAU